This 422-nucleotide ribosomal RNA is filed under the name uncultured bacterium. RNAcentral describes it as "partial 16S ribosomal RNA". It matches the Rfam family "Bacterial small subunit ribosomal RNA", at positions 360 to 774 of the family's 1533-position model. The record is from RNAcentral.
AAUUUUGGACAAUGGGGGAAACCCUGAUCCAGCCAACCCGCGUGCAUGAUGAAGGCCUUCGGGAUGUAAAGUACUUUUGGCAGAGACGAAAAGGUCCCUCCUAAUACGAGGUACUGCUGACGGGAUCUUCAGAAUAAGCACCCGCUAACUACGUGCCAGUAGCCGCGGUAAUACGUAGGGUGCAAGCGUUAAUCGGAAUUACUGGGCGUAAAGCGUGUGUAGGCGGUUCGGAAAGAAAGAUGUGAAAUCCCAGGGCUCAACCUUGGAACUGCGUUUUUAACUGCCGAGCUAGAGUAUGUCAGAGGGGGGUAGAAUUCCACGUGUAGCAGUGAAAUGCGUAGAUAUGUGGAGGAAUACCGAUGGCGAAGGCAGCCCCCUGGGAUAAUACUGACGCUCAGACACGAAAGCGUGGGGAGCAAAAA